This 778-nucleotide ribosomal RNA is filed under the name uncultured Neocallimastigales. RNAcentral describes it as "partial large subunit ribosomal RNA". It matches the Rfam family "Eukaryotic large subunit ribosomal RNA", at positions 24 to 649 of the family's 3401-position model. Lineage: Eukaryota; Fungi; Neocallimastigomycota; Neocallimastigomycetes; Neocallimastigales. The record is from RNAcentral.
UUAUCUCUGUAGAGUCUGCAUAUCAAUAAGCGGAGGAAAAGAAACUAACAAGGAUUCCCCUAGUAACGGCGAGUGAAGCGGGAAGAGCUCAAAUUUGAAAUCUUAAAGGGUUUCCCUUUACGAAUUGUAGUUUAAAGAAGUGUUCUCUGUUGAAGUUUUGGUAAAAGUUCUUUGGAAUAGGACAUCAUAGAGGGUGAGAAUCCCGUAUUUGACCGUUACUUUCCAGCUGUGUGAUACACUUUCAAAGAGUCGGAUUGUUUGGGAAUGCAGUCCAAAAUGGGUGGUAAAUUUCAUCUAAAGCUAAAUAUUGGCGAGAGACCGAUAGCGAACAAGUACCGUGAGGGAAAGAUGAAAAGAACUUUGAAAAGAGAGUUAAACAGUACGUGAAAUUGUCAAAAGGGAAGCGUUUGACACCAGUGUUGUUUUCUCGAAAAUCAAUUAAAAAUGGCUGGGAUUUUGUGUUGUAUUGACUUUAUCAGCUUUCUGCACUUUUUUCCUAUCUUUUUUAAUGCACUUUUCGUUUAACAAGUCAACAUCAAGUUUCUUUUGUUGUAAAAGGGUCAUUGGAAGGUGGCUUUCUUUUCGGAGAAAGUGUUUAUAGCCUUUGAUCUCUGCAAUCGGAGAGAUUGAGGUCUGCAGCGUAGAUCCUUCGGGGUUAGAUACAUUUGUGCUAAGUUAUAGCUUUUUAUAGACAACUUGUUGACUAUAUUUAGUCUUGUGGCUUACUCGCUUAUGCUAUUUUACCUACGCUUAGGAUGUUGAGUAGCGACAUACGCAC